CGAGCCGGCCGGGCGGUCGCGUCGGGGGAGCACACACUCCCUCGCCGAGGAACGUCCGGGCUCCACAGGGCAGGAUGGUGGGUAACGCCCACCCGGGGUGACCCGCGGGACAGUGCCACAGAAAGCAAACCGCCGGGGCCGUAUCCGUACGGCUCCCGGUAAGGGUGAAACGGUGGUGUAAGAGACCACCAGCGCCCAGGGUGACCUGGGCGGCUCGGUAAACCCCAUCCGGAGCAAGGUCAAGAGGGAGCACUCCGGUGCUCCUGCGCGGACGACCGAGGGCGGCCCGCCCGAGUCCGCGGGUAGACCGCACGAGGCCGGCGGCAACGCCGGUCCUAGAUGGAUGACCGCCGCCCCGGGGCGCCGCAAGGCCCCCGAGGCACAGAACCCGGCGUACAGGCCGACUCGUCCG
This is a non-coding RNA of Streptomyces sp. NRRL F-6602, 412 nucleotides long. The record is from Rfam. NCBI's taxonomy places the organism in Bacteria, Bacillati, Actinomycetota, Actinomycetes, Kitasatosporales, Streptomycetaceae.